Molecule: small RNA, 896 nt
Filed under: Pongo abelii (Sumatran orangutan)
Lineage: Eukaryota; Metazoa; Chordata; Mammalia; Primates; Hominidae
Description: retained intron
Source: RNAcentral
ACAAAAUAUAAUCCAAUACCACUUACCUUAAAAAAGGAAAGACAAGCCAGCCAGAAUGGGACAGAGCCAGGCGCAGCAUGGGGGGCAGACUAAGGAGCCCCUCAGUAGCAGGUGCCGGGCUGAGGGGCCUUGCUGCCACACCACACGUGGGAGCAAGGCUGUGCUGGGAUGUCCGGGGAGGUCCUGCUUGCUCGCCCUGUGGCUCUAGUCACUGGGUCCCUUACCAGCAGGCUCACAUUCCAGAGAGACCUGGCACAGUGAAGGGCUCAGAACCAGGUCACAGGUCAGGGUCAACCUCACCUAGGCCACGGGGGACUGAGAACAAGACGCCAGGUUUUGGCUUAAAUCAGACCUUCCUGCCACGGGGCUCUGCACCCUUGCCAUGGGUGAGGGCUUCCUUUUGGGGUGUUUAGGGGAUUGGGGUGGCUACUGAGUCCCUUCAGCUGUGAGGUUCUUCAUCCACGAAAUGAAUUGACAGAGGCUGGCCGGAAGCCCUGGGAGCGGAGCAACUCGGUGGAGAAGCCUGUGUCCUCGAUUCUGUCCAGAACCCCGUCUGUGGCAAAGAGCCCCGAAGCUAAGAGCCCCCUUCAGUCGCAGCCUCACUCUAGGAUGAAGCCUGCUGGGAGCGUGAAUGACAUGGCCCUGGAUGCCUUCGACUUGGACCGGAUGAAGCAGGAGAUCCUAGAGGAGGUGGUGAGAGAGCUCCACAAGGUGAAGGACGAGAUCAUCGACGCCAUCAGGCAGGAGCUGAGUGGGAUCAGCACCACGUAAGGGGCCGGCCUCGCUGCGCUGAUUCGUCGAGCCCAUCCGGUGACAGAGGACAGCCAGGAGCCCAGCCAGCCCCAGACUCCAGUGCACCAGAGCACGCACAGGAGCCUGGGCGCACUGCUGUGAAA